RNAcentral lists this ribosomal RNA (474 nucleotides) under uncultured bacterium. RNAcentral's name for it is "partial 16S ribosomal RNA". The stretch from base 20 to 299 matches the Rfam family "Bacterial small subunit ribosomal RNA", at positions 47 to 358 of the family's 1533-position model. The record is from RNAcentral.
AACGAACGCUGGCGGCAUGCCUAACACAUGCAAGUCGAACGAGACCUUCGGGUCUAGUGGCGCACGGGUGCGUAACGCGUGGGAACCUGCCCUUAGGUUCGGAAUAACUCCCCGAAAGGGGUGCUAAUACCGGAUAAUGUCUUCGGACCAAAGAUUUAUCGCCUUUGGAUGGGCCCGCGUUGGAUUAGCUAGUUGGUAGGGUAAAAGCCUACCAAGGCGACGAUCCAUAGCUGGUCUGAGAGGAUGAUCAGCCACACUGGGACUGAGACACGGCCCAGACGAGGAGGGGGGGAAGGGGGGGGAAAGAUGGAAGAAGGGAGGAAAGAAUGACACGGAAGGGCGGGGUGAGGGAUGAAGGCAGGAGGGUUGAAAAACAAAGUAGCGCGGAAAGAAAAUGAAAGAAGGGAGAAAAAGAGUGCCGGAAAACGCCGGGCAAGAGGCAGCGGUAAGAAGGGGAGGAGAAAGCGUCUAAGC